RNAcentral lists this long non-coding RNA (1347 nucleotides) under Macaca mulatta (Rhesus monkey). RNAcentral describes it as "lncRNA (ENSMMUG00000060635.1)". Lineage: Eukaryota; Metazoa; Chordata; Mammalia; Primates; Cercopithecidae. The record is from RNAcentral.
CUCAGAGCCACAGGUGUUGUUCAGCAGUCACUGAUUGGCACAUAGACGGCUGCAGGUGUGGAACAGGCCACUUGCUGAAGCGCGGGAACAGGCCGGUCGGUUCAUCUGAGCAACAGGAGGGUGUGUGCCCUCUGGCACGUGGUCUCCAAAAACGCAACAUCCUGGCCAGAGUGAAACUGAGACCCAAGCACCGUUUAUGAAAAGGCAUGGCUCUCUGGAUGCGCUUAUCAGGCAUCCACAUGCAUAGGUCCAGAAACUGUCAGUGUGAGCACAAAGGAAGACGAAGGACCACGAACCCAGCAUCAACACGCCACUGGCGAGCUGACAGAAAGGAGGACGGACAGAGGAACGAGGAACUUUCCCGUGACCCCGAGACCUGGGGGCCACAGGUCUGCUGUAAGUGGGUUUGGCCCCUCCUGCGUGGGGGGCAGGGGAAGUCCCUGCUGCACCGGGUGAACACAGGGUAAGGGUGUUGGGUUGGUCUCCACUGAGGCUGCUCAGAAGGGAGUUCCAUUCAUUUUUCCCUGGUAACAUCCGCAGGGUCCUUCUCCACCAGCACACAGCUCCCCACUGCGUGGUCCUGUUCUUGAACUGAUGGCCUAACACCAGCAACGCCUCUCAGUCCUGAGACCCUCCUCUGGCUGGGAGCCACGGUAUCCAUGGCAACCAUGGCUGACACAGAGGAGGAUGCGGACAUCCUGGGAAACAAAGCCACAUCUGAGUGAAAAGCUCAGAGGUGCGGGUACUGGGGUACAGCGCGUGUGGGGCGCCCCCACGUGGUCAAUCAGGAUAGAGGCGCAAGCGUGUCCCGCAGCGGGUGUAGAAAACUGGCCCAAGCCGGAGUGUCCAGAGGACCAUGCCUAAGGAAAUGAGUUUGUCACAUUGCAGACCCCUCUCUCGCACCUCCCUGGCUUCUGACAGUGACCCUCUUCAUCCCCUCUUCAUCCUGUACCUGUGCUGGGACCCUCUUCAUCCCGUGUCCGUGCCGGGACCCUCUUCACCCCGUGUCCGUGCCGGGACCCUCUUCACCCCGUGUCUGUGCCGGGACCCUCUUCAUCCCGUGUCCGUGCGGGACCCUCUUCAUCCCGUGUCCGUGCCGGGACCCUCUUCAUCCCGUGUCUGUGCCGGGACCCUCUUCAUCCCGUGUCUGUGCCGGGACCCUCUUCACCCCGUGUCUGUGCCGGGACCCUCUUCACCCCGUGUCCGUGCGGGACCCUCUUCAUCCCGUGUCCGUGCGGGACCCUCUUCAUCCCGUGUCUGCGGGACCCUCUUCAUCCCGUGUCUGUGCCGGGACUCGCUAUUCUGUUGGGCCCAGGGAACACAGGGAUGAGUUAGGCUCAGCAGCCC